CGUCAACCCCUCUAAGUACUCCUUCCAAGAUCUUAUUCCUUCGGGAAAGUUUUGGUCCUCCAUCCUCUUCUCAUGGCCCUUGAUAUAAUCAUUCCACUCGACUCGAAAAUCCACAACAAAUGGAUGGUAACGAACAUGCUCGAGCAUCCAUAACUGCAAUAGAAUGUUACAUCCUUCAAAAUAGUCUGCUCCAUUUUUG
RNAcentral lists this long non-coding RNA (199 nucleotides) under Capsicum annuum. RNAcentral describes it as "long non-coding RNA (CANN_LNC014014)". Lineage: Eukaryota; Viridiplantae; Streptophyta; Magnoliopsida; Solanales; Solanaceae. The record is from RNAcentral.